Molecule: long non-coding RNA, 1366 nt
Organism: Neodiprion fabricii
Lineage: Eukaryota; Metazoa; Arthropoda; Insecta; Hymenoptera; Diprionidae
Exons: 3
Source: RefSeq, a predicted model, not a curated record
AUGGGUGAAGAAGGCAGUAUUCGAUUAAAAAAUUGCUUUCGAACACAGUUAGCUGAUUGUUUUAUUGAGAAUAACAUCAACAAUGUCCAGGCGAACUCAAUACUUACAGUUCUCAGAUCACAUCGCUGUUUGGCCUCUCUUCCACAAGAUGUAAGAACAUUGAUUGGGACUUGCAAUCGUCGCGUUGAAUUGAUUGAUGUUAAACCCGGAAAAUAUUGGCAUGUAGGUUUUGUUGCUGGAAUUUUAAAAGAACUGUCGAAACACACAUAUGCCAUACCUAAUAUCUUAGAAAUCGAUGUUAGUACUGAUGGAGCUGCUGGUGCAAAAGACGGUUCAACUCAGUAUUGGCCUAUCCAGUUCCGAAUAAUAAAUAUUCCUGAUAGCUCUAUACUUAUCGCAGGUGUCUAUUAUGGGAAGGGUAAGCCAAAAGACCCGAACAAUUUCUUUAAAAUGUUCACAAAUGAAGUCCAAGAGGUUUUCGCCAGCGGUGGUAUCCAUUUCAAGAAUCAUUUAGUAAAAAUAAAAUUCAGAUGCUUCAUAGCUGAUGCUCCGGGUUGAUACCUUGGAGGUAUUUAAGAGUUUGAAGAAGAUCCUGAAAGACAACGAUCUCUAAGACACUAUCUUAUUAACGUUGGUGGUGUCACAGCUAGAGAUGCUCUCAACCCAUUUCUGAAGGAAGCCAUGACGGAUAGCCUGACACAAAAAUUCUCUUGGACUGGAAAGUCUGUUUCAGAUAAAGAGAAUCUCCGACCGUUAUUUGAUACCUGUAUCGGAAAGGUAUUUUUUGGUUUCGAUGAUUGUUUACGCAGAUGCUUUACGUGAGUGUUGAACAAUACCACAGCCACAUGAUCGUACAGAAUUUGCGAGACUGAUGCAAGAGGCAAUUCGGGGUGCACGAAAAAGAUUGCAGGAUGCAAAACGACGUGCCAUUCGCUCUGUCCAUGUGGAGGGUCGCAGACAAAAAUAUAUGGCUGAAAUGGCUCAUCGUUACGAGGUUGAACACCCAGGACAAUGACACUGCGGAAUAAGAGACCCACAAUUUGCCUAUUAAAGAUCCUACAUGUAUUCAAACAUACGUACCUAUGUACUUUGUUUGACUAAGAAAUAUUUUAGUACGUAUAGCUGUGAUGUUAGUUUUUAUGUUUAUGCUCAAGCAUAGUAUUUAUAAUUGGUACUGCAGCUGUGAUAUCCACAAGUGACAUGUAACUAUAUGUUUUCCAAUGAAACAUUAUACCUAUAUCAACAAAUGCGGCGGGUUUGUACUAACAUAGCUAACAUUUAGAUACUGUAGACGCUUUUGGUAUCUGGUAUAAAUUUUAGUCUUCUGACAUUUAUAUAAAGUAUUAAUUUUUAUUUUUUGAUUUCA